AUUGAACGCUGCGGCCGGCCUAACCAAUUCAAGUCGAGCGAGCGGCGGACGGGUGAGUAAUGUCUGGGAAACCGCCUGAUGGUGGGGGAGAACCACUGGAAACGGUAGCUAAUACAGCAUACCAUAAGAUGUGCCCAGGUGGGAUUAGGUAGUAGGUGGGGUAACGGCUCACCUAGGCGACGAGCCCUAGCUGGUCUGAGAGGAUGACCAGCCACACUGGAACUGAGACACGGUCCAGACUCCUACGGGAGGCAGCAGUGGGGAAUAUUGCGCAAUGGGGGCAAGCCGGACGCAGCCAUGCCGCGUGGAUGAAGAAGGCCUUCGGGUUGUAAAGUUCUUUCAGUGGGGAGGCGUUAAUCACAGAAGAAGCACCGGCUAACUCCGUGCCAGCAGCCGCGGUAAUUC
Molecule: ribosomal RNA, 405 nt
Filed under: uncultured bacterium
Lineage: Bacteria
Description: partial 16S ribosomal RNA
Rfam family: Bacterial small subunit ribosomal RNA
Source: RNAcentral